RNAcentral lists this ribosomal RNA (460 nucleotides) under uncultured bacterium. Its description in RNAcentral is "partial 16S ribosomal RNA". It matches the Rfam family "Bacterial small subunit ribosomal RNA", at positions 338 to 795 of the family's 1533-position model. The record is from RNAcentral.
CCUACGGGAGGCAGCAGUGAGGAAUCUUGGUCAAUGGACGAGACUCUGAACCAGCCAAGUAGCGUGAAGGAUGACUGCCCUAUGGGUUGUAAACUUCUUUUAUGAAGGAAUAAAACGAGGCACGUGUGCCUUUUUGCAAGUACUUUAUGAAUAAGGAUCGGCUAACUCCGUGCCAGCAGCCGCGGUAAUACGGAGGAUCCGAGCGUUAUCCGGAAUUAUUGGGUUUAAAGGGCGCGUAGAUGGGUUGUUAAGUCAGUUGUGAAAGGUUGCGGCUCAACCGGAAAAUUGCAAUUGAUACUGGCAGGCUUGAGUACAGUUGAGGUAGGCGGAAUUCGUGGUGUAGCGGUGAAAUGCUUAGAUAUCACGAAGAACCCCGAUGGCGAAGGCAGCUUACUAAACUGUGACUGACAUUGAUGCACGAAAGUGUGGGUAUCAAACAGGAUUAGAUACCCGAGUAGUC